This 171-nucleotide unclassified non-coding RNA is filed under the name soil metagenome. Its description in RNAcentral is "partial internal transcribed spacer 1". The record is from RNAcentral.
CAGAGUUCAUGCCCUCACGGGUAGAUCUCCCACCCUUGCGUAUUUAUACCUUUGUUGCUUUGGCAGGCCGCCUGGGCUCGCGCCUGGCCACCGGCUCCCGGCUGGUGCGUGCCUGCCAGAGGAUCUCCAAACUCUAGUUAUCAGUGUUGUCUGAGUACUAUACAAUAGUUA